AUUGAACGCUGGCGGAAUGCUUUACACAUGCAAGUCGAACGGCAGCACGGGAGCAAUCCUGGUGGCGAGUGGCGAACGGGUGAGUAAUAUAUCGGAACGUGCCCGGUCGUGGGGGAUAACGUAGCGAAAGCUACGCUAAUACCGCAUACGAUCUACGGAUGAAAGCGGGGGAUCGCAAGACCUCGCGCGAUUGGAGCGGCCGAUAUCAGAUUAGGUAGUUGGUGAGGUAAAGGCUCACCAAGCCGACGAUCUGUAGCUGGUCUGAGAGGACGACCAGCCACACUGGGACUGAGACACGGCCCAGACUCCUACGGGAGGCAGCAGUGGGGAAUUUUGGACAAUGGACGCAAGUCUGAUCCAGCCAUUCCGCGUGCAGGAUGAAGGCCCUCGGGUUGUAAACUGC
This 403-nucleotide ribosomal RNA is filed under the name uncultured bacterium. Its description in RNAcentral is "bacterial SSU rRNA". It matches the Rfam family "Bacterial small subunit ribosomal RNA", at positions 30 to 433 of the family's 1533-position model. The record is from RNAcentral.